This 487-nucleotide ribosomal RNA is filed under the name uncultured bacterium. RNAcentral describes it as "bacterial SSU rRNA". It matches the Rfam family "Bacterial small subunit ribosomal RNA", at positions 29 to 532 of the family's 1533-position model. The record is from RNAcentral.
AUUGAACGCUGGCGGCAUGCCUUACACAUGCAAGUCGAACGGCAGCGCGGGAGCAAUCCUGGCGGCGAGUGGCGAACGGGUGAGUAAUAUAUCGGAACGUGCCCAGUAGUGGGGGAUAGCCCGGCGAAAGCCGGAUUAAUACCGCAUACGACCUGAGGGUGAAAGCGGGGGAUCGCAAGACCUCGCGCUAUUGGAGCGGCCGAUAUCAGAUUAGCUAGUUGGUGGGGUAAAGGCCUACCAAGGCAACGAUCUGUAGUUGGUCUGAGAGGACGACCAGCCACACUGGGACUGAGACACGGCCCAGACUCCUACGGGAGGCAGCAGUGGGGAAUUUUGGACAAUGGGCGAAAGCCUGAUCCAGCAAUGCCGCGUGAGUGAAGAAGGCCUUAGGGUUGUAAAGCUCUUUUAGUAAGGAAAAUAAUGAUGGUACUUACAGAAAAAGACACCGGCUAACUCCGUGCCAGCAGCCGCGGUAAGGAUGAGACGU